Molecule: ribosomal RNA, 610 nt
Filed under: uncultured eukaryote
Lineage: Eukaryota
Description: SSU rRNA
Rfam family: Eukaryotic small subunit ribosomal RNA
Source: RNAcentral
CCAGCUCCAAUAGCGUAUAUUAAAGUUGUUGCAGUUAAAAAGCUCGUAGUUGGAUUUCGGGGCAGGAGGUCCGGUCCGCCGAAAGGCAGGUACUGGACGCCAGCCCUUUUUCUCGAAGGCCCCAUCUGCUCUUCAUUGAGUGGUAGGGGAGUUCGGGACGUUUACUUUGAAAAAAUUAGAGUGUUCAAGGCAGGCCGUCGCUUGAAUACGUUAGCAUGGAAUAAUGGAAUAGGACUUCGGUUCUAUUUCGUUGGUUUCUGGGACCGAAGUAAUGAUUAAGAGGGACAGUUGGGGGCAUUCGUAUUCAAUUGUCAGAGGUGAAAUUCUCGGAUUUAUGGAAGACGAACAACUGCGAAAGCAUUUGCCAAGGAUGUUUUCAUUAAUCAAGAACGAAAGUUGGGGGUUCGAAGACGAUCAGAUACCGUCGUAGUCCCAACCAUAAACUAUGCCGACUAGGGAUCGGCGGACGUUAGCGAGUGACUCCGUCGGCACCUUAUGAGAAAUCAAAGUCUUUGGGUUCCGGGGGGAGUAUGGUCGCAAGGCUGAAACUUAAAGGAAUUGACGGAAGGGCACCACCAGGAGUGGAGCCUGCGGCUUAAUUCGACUCAAC